AGAUUGACUUGGCUUCACACAUUGUUAGGGUUGUGUCGACUUUGAAGAUUGCUUAAACAUGUGACAAAUUACAGUGAGUCUAACAUGUGGUCGUUACUUGGAGGGUUCCAAUAACGAGGGUCAGAUGAUCCACACUUGAGUAAUUCUCAUGAUUUUAUUGAUGAUGCUCGAAACAUAAGAAGUGGCUACAAAAAAGAUGCCCUUUCAGGAGUCCAUGGAAGGGUCUUUUCAUCAAAUUGUCGGGAUCCUUUGCUUGAAUCUAUUGCAAGAAAAGGAAUAAUGUCUUAGGUGAGUCCAUCACAUGCCAUCCAUACUGAGAUUUUACAAGCUAAAUCUGGAUAUACUUCACUUCUUAGUGGAUCAUACAACACUAAUUCAUUUAGACAUUAGGCAACUGUUGCAGUUCUGUGGCUUGCUUUUAAAAGGCAAGAAGCGCACAAAAGCGACAUGGUCUAAAACCGAGCCGUGAAGCGCCAAAGAGCAAAAGUGCACCGCUUUUCGUACACGAGGCACAAAUAAAUAUAUAUUUUCUAUAGGUUUCUAGCACCAUUUGCCUAACAUGGGCGGACCCAA
Molecule: long non-coding RNA, 573 nt
Organism: Helianthus annuus (common sunflower)
Lineage: Eukaryota; Viridiplantae; Streptophyta; Magnoliopsida; Asterales; Asteraceae
Exons: 3
Source: RefSeq, a predicted model, not a curated record